RNAcentral lists this ribosomal RNA (484 nucleotides) under uncultured bacterium. Its description in RNAcentral is "partial 16S ribosomal RNA". It matches the Rfam family "Bacterial small subunit ribosomal RNA", at positions 28 to 507 of the family's 1533-position model. The record is from RNAcentral.
AACGAACGCUGGCGGCAGGCCUAACACAUGCAAGUCGAGCGGACGAAGCGAGCUUGUUCCUGGUUUCAGCGGCGGGCGGGUGAGUAAUGCCUAGGAAUCUGCCUGGUAGUGGGGGAUAACGUCCGGAAACGGCCGCUGAUACCGCCUACGUCCUGCGGCAGACCGUGGGGGAUGUUUGGACCUCACGCUAUCAGCCGAGCCUAGGCCGGCUUAGCUAGUUGGUGGGGUAAAGGCCUACCAAGGCGACGAUCCGUAAAUGGGCUGCGUGGCUGGCCGGUCACACUAGAGCUGAGACACCGUCCAGAGUCCUAGGGGAGGCCCCAGAGUGGAAUAUUGGACAAUGGGCGAAAGCCUGACCCAGCGAUCCCGCGCGUGUGGAAGGGGUCCUCGGUGUGGAAAGCACUUUAAGGUGGGAGAAAGGGCAAUAACUUAAUACCGUGCGGUUGUGACGUUACCAGGAAAAGAAGCACCGGCUAACUUCGUG